AGCUAAAACCUAGUCCUCCUAACCCCUAUGAGUCCCCAACACUCUUUAACAACUAAUAAAACAUUGCCCCUCUUUAGUAAAGGCGAUUGAAAAACUUCUAGGAACUACAACAAUAGUACCGCAAGGGAAAACUGAAAUAGAAGUGAAAUAAAAAUAAAGCGCAACAAAGCAGAGCCACACCUCGUACCUUUUGCAUCAUGGUUUAGCCAGUCCAAUCAAGCGUAAAGAAUUUUAGUUUGACCCCCCGAAACCAGGUGAGCUACUUCAAAACAGCCUAUCAAGGGCCAACCCGUCUCUGUUGCAAAAGAGUGGGAAGAUUUUCAAGUAGAGGUGAUAGACCUACCGAACCUGGAGAUAGCUGGUUAUUUAGGAAAAGGAUCAAAGUCCUACCUUAAGUUUUUUAAAUCAUAAAAAUACCCCUUAAACUUAAGAGCUAUUCAAAUAAGGUACAGCCUAUUUGAAACAGGAAACAACCUAAAGAACAGGGUAAUAUUAUAUGGCACGUGUCCAAGUGGGCCUAAAAGCAGCCAACUUUCAAAAAGCGUUAAAGCUUAUACUCGAGCCCCCCCCAAUCCCAAAACUAACAGACAACCCUUAUAAAGUACUAAAUAAUUCUAUAAACUUAUAGAAGUUAUAAUGCUAAAACUAGUAACAUGAAGAAGUCCUUCUCCUAAGUGCACACGUAAGCCAAAAAGAACAACUCAUUGGCAUUUAACGCUAUUGAAUACAAAGCAACAACUCUUCAAGAAAACCUUGCUAGCACCAACGUUAACCUUACACAAGCGCACUCCAGGAAAGAUUAAAAGAGGUAGAAGGAACUCGGCAAACUUUAACCCCGCCUGUUUACCAAAAACAUCGCCUCCUGAAAACAAUAGGAGGUCCAGCCUGCCCAGUGACCAAGUUAAACGGCCGCGGUACCCUAACCGUGCGAAGGUAGCGCAAUCACUUGUUCUUUAAAUGAGGACUAGUAUGAACGGCAUCACGAGGGUUAUACUGUCUCCCACCUCUAAUCAGUGAAACUGAUCCCCCCGUGAAGAAGCGGGGAUACAACUAUAAGACGAGAAGACCCCAUGGAGCUUUAAACUCAGUAUCAACCACCAAAACUACACCUCAUUAGACAGGUGGACCUGAUUACUAGUUUUAGGUUGGGGUGACCGCGGAGUACAACACAACCUCCACGAUGAAAGACCUCCCUCUAAUCUAAGAGCAACAGCUCAAAGAAUCAAAAAAUUGACAUCCAUUGACCCAAAUAACCUUGAUCAACGAACCAAGUUACCCUGGGGAUAACAGCGCAAUCCAUUUCAAGAGCCCCUAUCGACAAAUGGGUUUACGACCUCGAUGUUGGAUCAGGGUACCCCAGUGGUGCAGCCGCUACUAAAGGUUCGUUUGUUCAAC
This 1395-nucleotide ribosomal RNA is filed under the name Hypopachus variolosus (sheep frog). Its description in RNAcentral is "partial 16S ribosomal RNA". It matches the Rfam family "Bacterial large subunit ribosomal RNA", at positions 363 to 2585 of the family's 2925-position model. Lineage: Eukaryota; Metazoa; Chordata; Amphibia; Anura; Microhylidae. The record is from RNAcentral.